RNAcentral lists this ribosomal RNA (253 nucleotides) under uncultured bacterium. RNAcentral's name for it is "partial 16S ribosomal RNA". It matches the Rfam family "Bacterial small subunit ribosomal RNA", at positions 524 to 776 of the family's 1533-position model. The record is from RNAcentral.
UACGGAGGGUGCAAGCGUUAAUCGGAAUUACUGGGCGUAAAGGGUGCGUAGGUGGUGAGGUAAGUCGGAUGUGAAAGCUCGGAGCUCAACUCCGAAAUGGCAUUGGAAACUACCUUGCUCGAGGGUUGGAGGGGGGACUGGAAUGCUUGGUGUAGCAGUGAAAUGCGUAGAUAUCAAGCGGAACACCAGUGGCGAAGGCGAGUCCCUGGACAACUCCUGACACUGAGGCACGAAAGCUAGGGGAGCAAACAGG